Molecule: long non-coding RNA, 1580 nt
Organism: Poeciliopsis prolifica (blackstripe livebearer)
Lineage: Eukaryota; Metazoa; Chordata; Actinopteri; Cyprinodontiformes; Poeciliidae
Exons: 4
Source: RefSeq, a predicted model, not a curated record
UCUUACUUAAAUUAGGUUUGUAUGCUUUACUCAAGUCUCACUAAAUUGUUCAUUCAACUCAAUUCAUGUGAGUAAUGUACAUGUUAGGCCCGAGAAAGGUACGUUAUUUUGAGUGAACUGGAUUUGAAUAUUUUUGUUACUGGAGUGAAGGCUUCAGCUCAACAGUGCUUCCAGAACAUUUGUGGACUUGCACAUUGGAAGAAGCAGAGCUUCUCUAAAGAGACUAAUGAUGUUGCCAUGAGGUCUGCUGUCCUGUGACGUCUCUCAGUUUUAUCUUGAUGCAGGUGCCAUGGCAGACUUCAUCCAGGUUCCUGUGGGAUUAUUGACUGUUACAUUAUGCUAGUAAACUGUACUGUUCAUGUAUUUCACAGAAGAGAGGAUAUGGAACAGCAGUUGCAGCCAAACCUGUUUGAAAAAUAACAAGUGCUGAAAAAACAGGCACUUUUCCUAACCUACCAACCUCCCUGGUGGCUGCUGUGGGCAGCAGCUUAUUUGUUUUAACAACACAGUGAAUAAGGAGUCAAGUGGUUGGAUUAAUUUGUUGGAGUGCAGAGGGAGUGCUCAAAGUUAGGAGUGCUGCAGAAGAGGACGAGGGGGAAUGAGUGUUGGAGGAUAAAGGAAGACGGCAGGCUGUAGGAGUUCAGAGGUAGAUAAACCUGGAAAGAGAACAGACAAGAAGACUAAAGGCAACACAAGUAGGAAGAGGACAAGUGAGACGGAAAAGAGAGGCUUCAGUUCCCAGAGCUCUGUGACAGCCACUCAUCCCCAGAGACCUCUUAUCUACAGGGGGCAUCUUUGACUUGAUAAUCCUGCUCUUCGUCACCCUGAAACCCCUUCUCUCUACACACAUCUCUAGAUCUACACCCCUUCCCAGGAGGGCGAAGCGCUACCUGUCACAGUGCCUAUACCUCCAGGCUGCUUGUGGGGCAGGAUACUGAGGGAGGUGGGGGUGGUGGAGUUGACACUGUGCCCGACUAAGAAGUCACCUUUCUGGGAUAUGAAUCCUAAUGAAUGCGACUAUGAAGGGGGUGGAGGAGGUGGAAACAAAAAGCAUGCUGCUGCUGCUGUUGCAGAAUGUGUGUGUUUCUGUGUGUGUGAGACAGAUGGGGAGUUGCAGAGUGCUGACAGGCCCUCUAUGCUUCCUGGCUGCCAGAUUAUUUUUGGUAAUUUAUAACCAUUGUUGCUUAAAGGAGCUUUUAUUUCCAACGGUUACAGAGGCAGCAGCACUGCAACAACAGCAAUGAAACUCACUCCAGCAGAUGAUGUGCUUCUGCUUUUUGUGUAUUUUGUGCAUUUAAAAUACACACAUAUAUAUAUAAAAUAUAUUUUUUGUUUGUUUGUUUUGUUUUGUUUUGAAUGUAGGCGGGCACCAGAGAUAGAAAUAGUCUCGUUGUGAGCAAGUAAACAAAAGACCUAAAAUUAUAUUGCAGCAUUGUAAAAAUAAAAAUAAAAAAGAAGCACAGGAGACAGAUAAUAUAUCCUCUUUAUGGGAUGAAAACUUCUUUGUCUAUUUGCAACCUCUAUUUUUUAUUGUGGUUAUUUUAUUGACACUAAUUUGUUCAUCUGUGGCUGACCCCAGA